UACGUAGGUCCCGAGCGUUGUCCGGAUUUAUUGGGCGUAAAGCGAGCGCAGGUGGUUUAUUAAGUCUGGUGUAAAAGGCAGUGGCUCAACCAUUGUAGGCAUUGGAAACUGGUAGACUUGAGUGCAGGAGAGGAGAGUGGAAUUCCAUGUGUAGCGGUGAAAUGCGUAGAUAUAUGGAGGAACACCGGUGGCGAAAGCGGCUCUCUGGCCUGUAACUGACACUGAGGCUCGAAAGCGUGGGGAGCAAACAGG
RNAcentral lists this ribosomal RNA (252 nucleotides) under uncultured bacterium. Its description in RNAcentral is "partial 16S ribosomal RNA". It matches the Rfam family "Bacterial small subunit ribosomal RNA", at positions 524 to 776 of the family's 1533-position model. The record is from RNAcentral.